UUUCAUAUACUAUAAUAGCUUUAGUGAUUUAUAUGACCACACAAUGUUGGCUAAAACAGUACAAAUUGGCUUUUUAAAAGAGGAACAAAUGAUCGUCAAUGGUGCACUAAACCAUGAGAGUGUGGCGCCUUCUGUGUUGUGGACUUGGCAUGGGCUGGCUUCUGUGAGUGCCACUGUAACGUUUGUUAUUUUGCCUAACUUUCUGAAGUUAAACCAUCCUUUCACAAAGUUCCAUCUUCUUGUUGAAACAAAGGUUCACUGCUGUGUUCUUGCUGCCAUUCCGCGGUAUAUUGGAGUGUUUCAUCCUAAUAUAUGUCUGGUUACAUGACCACAAAGAGAAAGAAGGGUAUGAUGUGUAAGUUACCUUUCUGAUACAACCACAAUACUAUGUCGCUAUUAUUAUUCGAGUUCAGAGAUUUGAGACUCUAGACUUUAUGGUCCGUUAAAUCAGUUUUAUUAAAUUAACUGAAAAAAUAGAUUAGCUCACAAGUAUCUCUACUCAGUAUCUCAGGUUCUGCUUGCAGCUAAUUUUUCUUGUAAUGGCAUCAGCUAAAAUAUUGGUAUGAUCGAAUUGAGAGAAGUUCUUUCAACAUAGAAAUGUAUUUUCACUGUAAGACAGUAAUUGUUAGAAUCACAAAUUACAAGAUGUCAUGAUACCUGACGAAACUGCUAUUGAAAUUCGUACACUAAUGCAGCAUAUUCUUUUGAUUAGAAGCAAACGUGGACACUCAAGAAGAAGCUGAAAAAUCAGUAUUGGAACCCAGCGAGGAAAUCUGAAAGCAUAGACCAUGUUUAAGAACUGGUUGUUUUUGUUGUGCUAUUUUUAAGAAAAAGGAUUGUCUCGAAGGAAAUGAAGCUUACCAACAAGGAAAUUAUGGUGAGGAGCACUCUUCUGCCCCCUUGGUAAUACAGAGGUACUCAACUCCAACCCUAUCCAAGAAGCGGAAUAUAUCAUACUCUAGAGUUUGGACUUUAGACAUAUUUUAUCCUUUUAUUAUACUCAUGGUCGUUUUGGAAAACAGAUGCAAUGCAAAGCGAGGAAAUCUGAAAGCAUAGACCAUGUUUAAGAACUGGUUGUUUUUGUUGUGCUAUUUUUAAGAAAAAGGAUUGUCUCGAAGGAAAUGAAGCUUACCAACAAGGAAAUUAUGGUGAGGAGGCACUCUUCUGCCCCCUUGGUAAUACAGAGGUACUCAACUCCAACCCUAUACAAGAAGCGGAAUAUAUCAUACUCUAGAGUUUGGACUUUAGACAUAUUUUAUCCUUUUAUUAUACUCAUGGUCGUUUUGGAAAACAGAUGCAAUGCAAAUGUUAUGUAUUGUGCUUUUGCUUGUUCAAGGGACCUCCUAAUGACACACGAUGGAAACGGAUCCGUGGAUUAAUUCAGAUGGCAUUAAUUGGAGAGAAGGGAUCUAGCUAGGUUUGCAAUGGCAUGUGUACUACCAAAAAGUAACAUCCUCAGGUUCUCUCCUGCAAAUCUAAAGAUCAUGUUCGCAGAGCUAAUAAAUGUAUAUGGAUUAAAAUAAAGAUGAUUUGUAUUCACCGAUAUAUAUGUAUUUCCAUCAAGAAAUAAGUUUGGAAGAGUAGUAAGUACCACGGCAUUUUCUUUCAGAAUGCAAUGGUGUUUAUUUGAUAAUGUGUUUAUAUGACAUGCAUAUGUUGCUUUAAUUUGCUCGUCCGCGAACCCCUCAAAAUUAUCUGACAAUCUGCUUAUACAAACAGCUUUGAGUUUGGUGCACUCUAUUGCUUUGUUAGGCUUGGUGGUGUAUCAGAUUCAGGAGAAUAAUAGUCCCUCUGUCAUCAUAUUUUUGUUUGUGGUAAUGCAUGACAUUCAACUGUAUGUAAUAUGGCAAUGACUCAAGAGACAUCGGAUCUGCCUUCUUGGCUUAGGGCAUCAGGGGUGGCACACACGUCCCACUUGGUGGCGGUGGCAGAUCGGCAAGAACAAGGGUGGGGUUGUAUUAAGGAGGAGAGCGGGGCGGUUGGCGAGGGACUGGCGAGGGACUCCUCCUUGGCGGUCCGUGGGGAAGUAAGGUGAGGUGGGUCUCAUUACUAGAGCCAUAUGACCAAAAAGAUGAUAGGAAAGGCUCUUUCCAAGCAUACAAGCAUAAGGUCAAGUUUAUUUCAUCAUCGAUCCAAAUAUUGUUCCAUAGAAUAAUUGUGUCACCAGCUCUAGGAAUGCAAGUUGUAACCCCUUUGUAUAUGUCCAUGAACGAGAACACAUCGUUCUGUAUAUCUUUCCGUAAAAGAACUGUGCAAAAAUUUCUUAAGCGCAACAACUAGAUAUUAAUUUGUAAUAGAAUUUUAGUUGGAUCAUUGCUCUAUAUGUACACAUCAUUAAUUUAUCAUUUUUUAUCAAUUUACAUUGCAAGUGAAUUGGACUAUAAUAAAUACCCAAUUGUGC
RNAcentral lists this long non-coding RNA (2401 nucleotides) under Triticum aestivum (bread wheat). RNAcentral's name for it is "long non-coding RNA (TAES_LNC008334)". The record is from RNAcentral. Lineage: Eukaryota; Viridiplantae; Streptophyta; Magnoliopsida; Poales; Poaceae.